UCCAACUCUUGUUUCCAAAAAGGGACAUGGCUGACCUCCAUAGGUGGAACUCAGAAUCAUGGACUGCCACUAAAAUGUUGACAUCUCCACAGGAAAGUUAACACAAGAGAAGGACCAGCUGACCAGUCACACAUUUGUAAUCCAAUCCAUAUUAUUGAACAGCACAUACUUGGCAACUGUCACUCCAGUCCAGAUGUGUCUGCCUUGAAUCCACUGUGGAACUGGCAUACUGACUGCCGUACACUUCUUGCAUGAAUCACUGCUUCUACUCUUUCUUCUGUUUGAGAAGACUUUCUGGUUCACAUCCCAAGAAAGUUUCAUGAGGGCUAGAAGACACAAAGAAAAGUUCAGGAGGGAUUCUGGUGAGUGCUGAAAUUUUUUACAAAACUGCAUGUUUAAAAUAACUGAGUGGAACCCUGUAAUAUAAGCUGAAUUCCCUCACUGACUGAUGACAAUCCUAGUAAAUAUACACAGCAUAACCCUGAUGAACUGAAACUUCUGGUUUACUGAGGUUCAUUUACAUUGACUGUCCUGCAUCUUCCUAGCAUGCUGGAGAAGUGAGCUGGCCAGUAGACUUUCACAUAUAUGCUCCAGAGUUGGGAACCCCGACUUAAAUGAGCUCAGACUUAGAUUCAUAGAUUUUAAAGCCAGAAAGGACCAUUACACCGCCUAGUCGACCUCUUGCACUUCACAGACCAUAGAAUUUCACCCAGUUACCUUUGUAUUGAGCCCCAAUAACUUGUUUCGCUCAAGCAUGUCUCCCAGGAAGUCAUCUAGUCUUGAUUCGGAGAUGUCAAGAGAUGAUAGUUUAUUAUAAUGGUUAAUCCUCAAAGCUUCUUGGGCUGACUCCGUCAACCAUUUUGAACCUCUGACUAUCUGAAGUUUUCAGAUGUUCCCC
This 898-nucleotide long non-coding RNA is filed under the name Chrysemys picta bellii (western painted turtle). RNAcentral describes it as "lncRNA (ENSCPBG00000012183.1)". The record is from RNAcentral. Lineage: Eukaryota; Metazoa; Chordata; Testudines; Emydidae.